ACGCACGCUGGCGGCGUGCUUAACCCCUGCCAGUCGAACGGAAAGGCCCUGCUUUUGUGGGGUGCUCGAGUGGCGAACGGGUGAGUAACACGUGAGUAACCUGCCCUUGACUUUGGGAUAACUUCAGGAAACUGGGGCUAAUACCGGAUAGGAGCUCCUGCUGCAUGGUGGGGGUUGGAAAGUUUCGGCGGUUGGGGAUGGACUCGCGGCUUAUCAGCUUGUUGGUGGGGUAGUGGCUUACCAAGGCUUUGACGGGUAGCCGGCCUGAGAGGGUGACCGGCCACAUUGGGACUGAGAUACGGCCCAGACUCCUACGGGAGGCAGCAGUGGGGAAUAUUGCACAAUGGGCGGAAGCCUGAUGCAGCAACGCCGCGUGCGGGAUGACGGCCUUCGGGUUGUAAACCGCUUUCGCCUGUGACGAAGCGUGAGUGACGGUAAUGGGAAAAGAAGCACCGGCUAACUACGUG
RNAcentral lists this ribosomal RNA (467 nucleotides) under uncultured bacterium. RNAcentral's name for it is "partial 16S ribosomal RNA". It matches the Rfam family "Bacterial small subunit ribosomal RNA", at positions 29 to 507 of the family's 1533-position model. The record is from RNAcentral.